RNAcentral lists this ribosomal RNA (460 nucleotides) under uncultured bacterium. Its description in RNAcentral is "partial 16S ribosomal RNA". It matches the Rfam family "Bacterial small subunit ribosomal RNA", at positions 338 to 795 of the family's 1533-position model. The record is from RNAcentral.
CCUACGGGAGGCAGCAGUGAGGAAUAUUGGUCAAUGGACGAGAGUCUGAACCAGCCAAGUAGCGUGAAGGAUGACUGCCCUAUGGGUUGUAAACUUCUUUUAUAUGGGAAUAAAAUGUUCCACGUGUGGGAUUUUGUAUGUACCAUUUGAAUAAGGAUCGGCUAACUCCGUGCCAGCAGCCGCGGUUAUACGGAGGAUCCGAGCGUUAUCCGGAUUUAUUGGGGUUAAAGGGCGCGUAGGUGGAUUGUUAAGUCAGUUGUGAAAGUUUGCGGCUCAACCGUAAAAUUGCAGUUGAAACUGGCAGUCUUGAGUACAGUAGAGGUGGGCGGAAUUCGUGGUGUAGCGGUGAAAUGCUUAGAUAUCACGAAGAACUCCGAUUGCGAAGGCAGUUCACUGGACUGCAACUGACACUGAGGCUCGAAAGUGUGGGUAUCAAACAGGAUUAGAUACCCUUGUAGUC